This 477-nucleotide ribosomal RNA is filed under the name uncultured bacterium. RNAcentral's name for it is "partial 16S ribosomal RNA". It matches the Rfam family "Bacterial small subunit ribosomal RNA", at positions 28 to 507 of the family's 1533-position model. The record is from RNAcentral.
GAUUAACGCUGGCGGCGUGCAUAACACAUGCAAGUCGAACGAUGAAACUUAGUAGACUUCUUCGGCAAGACACUAAGCGGAUUAGUGGCGAACGGGUGAGUAACGCGUGAGUAACCUGCCUUCCACAAGGGGCUAGCCUUUGGAAACGAAGAAUACUACUCUAUAAAACCAUAAAAGCACAUGCUAGAAUGGUCAAAGUGAUAGCGGUGUAAGAUGGACUUGCGUCUGAUUAGCUAGUUGGUGAGAUAAAAGCUCACCAAGGCAACGAGCAGUAGCCGGCUUGAGAGAGUGUACGGCCACAUUGGGACUGAGACACGGCCCAGACUCCGACGGGAGGCAGCAGUGGGGAAUUUUGCACAAUGGGGGAAACCCUGAUGCAGCGACGCCGCGUGAUUUAGAAGGCCUUCGGGUUGUAAAAAUCUUUUGUAUAGGAAGAAAAUGACAGUACUAUACGAAUAAGGUCCGGCUAAUUACGUG